RNAcentral lists this ribosomal RNA (450 nucleotides) under uncultured Glomus. RNAcentral's name for it is "SSU rRNA". It matches the Rfam family "Eukaryotic small subunit ribosomal RNA", at positions 569 to 1023 of the family's 1831-position model. Lineage: Eukaryota; Fungi; Glomeromycota; Glomeromycetes; Glomerales; Glomeraceae. The record is from RNAcentral.
AGCAGCCGCGGUAAUUCCAGCUCCAAUAGCGUAUAUUAAAGUUGUUGCAGUUAAAAAGCUCGUAGUUGAAUUUCGGGAUCAAUAUGUCGGUCGUGCCAUCGGUACGUACUGGUAUCAUUGGUUUCUCCUUUCUGACGAACCAUGAUGUCAUUAAUUUGGUGUUAUGGGGAGUUAGGACUGUUACUUUGAAAAAAUUAGAGUGUUUAAAGCAGGCUUUAGCUUGAAUACAUUAGCAUGGAAUAAUGAAAUAGGACGUUCGAACCUAUUUUGUUGGUUUCUAGGAUCAACGUAAUGAUUAAUAGGGAUAGUUGGGGGCAUUAGUAUUCAAUUGUCAGAGGCGAAAUUCUUGGAUUUAUUGAAGACUAACUACUGCGAAAGCAUUUGCCAAGGAUGUUUUCAUUAAUCAAGAACGAAAGUUAGGGGAUCGAAGACGAUCAGAUACCGUCGUAG